RNAcentral lists this ribosomal RNA (253 nucleotides) under uncultured bacterium. RNAcentral's name for it is "partial 16S ribosomal RNA". It matches the Rfam family "Bacterial small subunit ribosomal RNA", at positions 524 to 776 of the family's 1533-position model. The record is from RNAcentral.
UACGGAGGGGGCGAGCGUUAUUCGGAAUUAUUGGGCGUAAAGGGCGCGUAGGCGGCUUUAUGUGUCAAAGGUGAAAUCCCUCGGCUCAACUGAGGAACUGCCUUUGAAACUGUCUGGCUUGAGGCCGGGAGAGGGUAGCGGAAUUCCCAGUGUAGCGGUGAAAUGCGUAGAUACUGGGAGGAACACCGGUGGCGAAGGCGGCUACCUGGACCGGUUCUGACGCUGAUGCGCGAAAGCGUGGGUAGCAAACAGG